UGAAGAUCGUUGCGCGGGACGAGAAUCUCGCUCUCUUCUUGCUGGACCACAAAGGUUGUGUUCGAGUGCGCUAAGAGAAAUUCACUUUUCAACGUAACAUCUCAUGGCUGUUAGCUGAUAUUGACGCACCGGUAGAGGACCUCAGAGGGCUUUUAGCUGGUAUUGACGCACCGGUCAUACAGGAGUUGGAGCCAUAUUCCAGAUCUCAUGGCUGUUAGCUGAUAUUGACGCACCGGUAGAGGACCUCAGAGGGCUUUUAGCUGGUAUUGACGCACCGGUCAUACAGGAGUUGGAGCCAUAUUCCAGAUAUUCGAGUUGCUGACCUCCCUGUCGCAGGUGGAAGGCAUCUGUAAAACAGUGUGCAAGGAGAUGUUCGGCUUGUGCCAGGACAAAAAUGACCCCUGCUGGCUAAGAUUGGGGGAAUGAUAGCCUUAAAUACUAGUGGUUCUGGGGAAAAUGUGUCCGUAAUGACUAACAAUGACAAGCUUGAUAAACCAAUAACGAAAGCACAUAUUUGCAUCAAAGUCAGCUUGUUACCUUAAUGAUAAUUGCUCUGCACAGGUAUUGACUUGAGUUGGCUCAGCCCUGAUGUAGUGAAUGUCUCCCAGCCCUGUGUCAACUACAAAUUUCGGAACCUCCUGUCCAACAUGGAGGUUGGUGUGCUCUGUAAGCUGCUUCAGUUCCAGUUAGAUCAUAACACGGUAGCUUUGAAGACCAGCACCACUCCACCCACUGACAACUGGAAACCACUAGUAUAUGUAGUAGCAUUACUGACGAUGGCCCGAGUUGAUGUCAGCUCGUUCCCGAGUAUCUCAGAGACGUGCAUGGUCAACUGGCUAAAGCUGAUAGAGGCCAGCUACCAGUGCACCUACAGACGUUCUCAACAGCACUGCUGACUUCUUUCAACGAGAAAAAAUCAAGUUAUAAAGGCUCUUGAAUUAACAGUUUAAGCAUAAGUUCUGACCCAAAAGAAAUUCACUUCAUCAGCAGAGGCCAGCUACAGACGUUCUCAACAGCACUGCUGACUUCUUUCAACGAGAAAAAAUCAAGCUUGGAUGGAUCUUGUUGCUCUCUUGGUGAUGUGCAAAGACUGAUUCUUGGCUCUGUCCUGAGUCUGCUGAUGGGACUAGGCAACUGUCAUACAGAAGUUGGAGCCAUAUUCCAGAUCUCAUGGCUGUUAGCUGGUAUUGACGCACCGGUAGAGGACCUCAGAGGGCUUUUAGCUGGUAUUGACGCACCGGUCAUACAGGAGUUGGAGCCAUAUUCCAGUUGAAAGAAUGAGACGAAGAAGCUCGAGUUACCAGGAAAGAAGUCUUCAUGUUGAUAUGUCUCAUGCUGAAAGAAGCGGCUAUAAAGCAUCUACCGAGGCGGUAAAUCAGCCUUCCAAAUCUCGUCUACCGGAGCUUGAGAACACCCCAAGAAAAGCCUGUCCCGAUAAGCAAUGUAAAAGACUGCCCCGUUGAGAAAUCUAAAAAGACACCUAGGAAAGAAUAAAUUCGCAGCAUCUGUGCCAGUGAUUGAAGCGCAGAAAAAAAGGCAGAGGUAGAGAGGCAAAAAACCAACGAGAGGGAAAUAGCAUCUACCAAGGGGGUGAAUCAGCCUUCAAAAUCUCGGCUACCGGAGAUAAAGAACAACCCAAGAAAAGCCUGUCCCGAUAAGCAAUGUAAGAAGACACAUAAGGAGAUCAAAGAAUAAAUUCAGAACAACCAAGUAUCUGCAAAGAAAACAAUUCGGCAAGCACCCUAGCAGCUGCAGCCAGUAGGUCAGCAGGGGGCACACAUACAUUGACAAUAUCCAAUUGAGAAGCUUUACUGGGCAAGUCCUUCAUCUCCACUGCAACUGAAAUGAGAAUGAUAUGAGGUGAUAAUCAAAUCACUAAAGGCACUGCAGUUUUUUUGCAAGUGUGUGGUGUAAACGUGAGUCUUCAAUACCAAACAACAACCACAGUGUUUUGAAGAAAUACAUAAGUGAAAUCAACAUCAUCAUCAUUGUGCACCAACAUCGUCAUUACAACGAGAUAGAAAGAUUGAUCACAAUUAAGAAUGAUUCUUUAAACAAUAUUAUUACUCCACAGAAGGAAAUCAGCUGAAAGGAGAAAAAAAAUCUGCCCAGCAUUUCAGUAUUAGUUCCAAUAAAACAAAGUAGAUGUAAGCUAUGUACAAAAACUCAUAAGUUUCAUGUUAUUUUUCCAUGCUUUUGAGGCGUCUUCUUUUGAAGAAAAAUAUACAGUGGCUUGUCUGCAUUUCUUUUUCCUGUUCAGCAUAACUCUUUUUUUUUUCAAAUUCAAAUUAAAAUUUAAAAAUAAUUUUGAGUGGUGAAAGGUCAAGGUCAUCCUUCAAGGUCAAAGGUCAACAAAAAAAAGCGGAGCAUUAGGGGGCUUUGUGUUUCUGACAAACUCAUCUCUUGUUAAUAUUGGCAGCUAAGGAAAUGUAGCAUAGUCAUAGCUUUGUAUUAUUUUCCUCCCAUGUGAAAGAUGUGACAAGUUUAACUUAUAUCUGUGAUUUACCUCUUUGAGAAUUCUGUUGAAAACGGUAUAAACCCCUAAUAAACAAAAACAUCUGCUACUGAAUAUAAGAUAUGGUAAAAAUAAUCAGCAACUAAGGAACUAAUGGUUUUCAUGCACCAUAGUGUGGAUGGAUCUUGUUGCUCUCUUGGUGAUGUGCAAAGACUGAUUCUUGGCUCUGUCCUGAGUCUACUGAUGGGACUAGGCAACUGUCAUACAGGAGUUGGAGCCAUAUUCCAGAUCUCAUGGCUGUUAGCUGGUAUUGACGCACCGGUAGAGGACCUCAGAGGGCUUUUAGCUGGUAUUGACGCACCGGUCAUACAGGAGUUGGAGCCAUAUUCCAGAUCUCAUGGCUGUUAGCUGAUAUUGACGCACCGGUAGAGGACCUCAGAGGGCUUUUAGCUGGUAUUGACGCACCGGUCAUACAGGAGUUGGAGCCAUAUUCCAGAUAUUCGAGUUGCUGACCUCCCUGUCCCAGGUGGAAGGCAUCGGUAAAACAGUGUGCAAGAUGUUCGGCUUGUGCCAGGACAAAAAUGACCCCUGCUGGCUAAGAUUGGGGCAUCUUCCAAGUGGUGAAUCAGCAUUCCGCAUUGAGACUACCGGAGCUGGAGAAGGCCUCAAGAAAGGCCUGUCCCGAGAAGCAAUCCGCAUCAACCGAUGCGGUUAAUCAGCCGUCCAAAUCUCGGCUAUCGGAGAUGGAGAGCCCCAAGAAAGGCCUGACCCGAGAAGCAAUAGGUACCAUGCAAGGAUGUCAAUAAUGAAGAUGGGAAACAAAUCAACAGCAGCAUCUUCCAAGGCGGUGAAUCAGCAUUCCGCAUUGAGACUACCGGAGCUGGAGAACGCCCCAAGAAAGGCCUGACCCGAGAAGCAAUGUAAGAAGACACCUAGGAGAUCAAAGAAUAAACAUCUUCCAAGGCGGUGAAUCAGCAUUCCGCAUUGAGACUACCGGAGCUGGAGAAGGCCUCAAGAAAGGCCUGUCCCGAGAAGCAAUCAUCUUCCGUGUCGGUAAAUAAGCCGUCCAAAUCUUGGCAAUCGAAGCUGGACAGCCCUUCAAGAAAUGCCGUACCUGAUAAAAAAUUAAAAACUCCACAAGCGACACCACCAUCAACUUCUUUUUGGAGUUUAAGCGAGGAAGACACACAAGCUCAAAUCAAUAUGAGAGGCCUCGACAGGAAAAACAAAGGCUGCGGAUGUGAACAGUGUAUGUUUGCUUACUGGAGAGGAAAACAAAGGCUGCGGAUGUGAACAGUGAAAGGUCCCCUAGGGGAAAACAGCUGGCUGCAAAGAUGAUGAGAGCUGACAGUUCACUCCAGCCAGGGCAGGCAAACUCCAGCUCCACCUCUAGCUCUAGCCCGGAGCCUCUGCAGCUAACCCCAAGCCCUGAGCCCCUGCCUCCUACCACAUUGAGAACAUCUGCAUGGCUGGAAGCAAGAGAGGGGUACGCUGCAGCGAUGAGCAACGCUUGCGAUCAUUACAGUAUGAAACAAGUUGUUUCAUACUGUGAUGAUGUGCUCAUCCUGCCAGCCACGGAACAGGAGCCGCCGGUCCACAGGGUACUUGAGCCCGUACCCGGGACAUCGAGAAUCUCUAGCCCCCUACAACGAACUGAAGCGAGUGCAAAAUGCAGCUCUAUCCAAAAUGGAGGAGCAGUUUGGUGUUCUGAAGAAAAGUAUGCAAGAAGUGCACCAACUGUUGCCUCAGCAUGAUGAUAGUGAAGAAAUGAUGACAGCCAGAUCACACCUCUGCGAGGAAGAGGAGGCAAGUCUGUAUUCAUCAAA
Molecule: long non-coding RNA, 4281 nt
Organism: Dreissena polymorpha
Lineage: Eukaryota; Metazoa; Mollusca; Bivalvia; Myida; Dreissenidae
Exons: 29
Source: RefSeq, a predicted model, not a curated record